UACGUAGGGGGCAAGCGUUGUCCGGAAUUAUUGGGCGUAAAGCGCGUGUAGGCGGCUCGGUAAGUCUGCUGUGAAAGUCCAAGGCUCAACCUUGGAAAGCCGGUGGAUACUGUCGAGCUCGAGUCCGGAAGAGGCGAGUGGAAUUCCUGGUGUAGCGGUGAAAUGCGCAGAUAUCAGGAGGAACACCGAUGGCGAAGGCAGCUCGCUGGGACGGUACUGACGCUGAGGCGCGAAAGCGUGGGGAGCAAACAGG
Molecule: ribosomal RNA, 253 nt
Filed under: uncultured bacterium
Lineage: Bacteria
Description: partial 16S ribosomal RNA
Rfam family: Bacterial small subunit ribosomal RNA
Source: RNAcentral